UACAGAGGUCUCAAGCGUUGUUCGGAUUCAUUGGGCGUAAAGGGCGCGUAGGCGGCGGGGUAAGUCGGGUGUGAAAUCUCAGAGCUCAACUCUGAAACUGCACUCGAUACUGCUUUGCUAGAGGACUGGAGAGGAGAUUGGAAUUCACGGUGUAGCAGUGAAAUGCGUAGAGAUCGUGAGGAAGACCAGUGGCGAAGGCGGAUCUCUGGACAGUUCCUGACGCUGAGGCGCGAAGGCCAGGGGAGCAAACAGG
This 253-nucleotide ribosomal RNA is filed under the name uncultured bacterium. RNAcentral describes it as "partial 16S ribosomal RNA". It matches the Rfam family "Bacterial small subunit ribosomal RNA", at positions 524 to 776 of the family's 1533-position model. The record is from RNAcentral.